CCUACGGGUGGCAGCAGUGAGGAAUAUUGGUCAAUGGACGAGAGUCUGAACCAGCCAAGUAGCGUGAAGGAUGACUGCCCUAUGGGUUGUAAACUUCUUUUAUAUGGGAAUAAAACGUUCCACGUGUGGGAUUUUGUAUGUACCAUAUGAAUAAGGAUCGGCUAACUCCGUGCCAGCAGCCGCGGUAAUACGGAGGAUGCGAGCGUUAUCCGGAUUUAUUGGGUUUAAAGGGAGCGUAGGUGGAUUGUUAAGUCAGUUGUGAAAGUUUGCGGCUCAACCGUAAAAUUGCAGUUGAAACUGGCAGUCUUGAGUACAGGAGAGGUGGGCGGAAUUCGUGGUGUAGCGGUGAAAUGCUUAGAUAUCACGAAGAACUCCGAUUGCGAAGGCAGUUCACUGGACUGCAACUGACACUGAGGCUCGAAAGUGUGGGUAUCAAACAGGAUUAGAUACCCUUGUAGUC
This 460-nucleotide ribosomal RNA is filed under the name uncultured bacterium. Its description in RNAcentral is "partial 16S ribosomal RNA". It matches the Rfam family "Bacterial small subunit ribosomal RNA", at positions 338 to 795 of the family's 1533-position model. The record is from RNAcentral.